This 322-nucleotide ribosomal RNA is filed under the name uncultured eukaryote. RNAcentral's name for it is "partial 18S ribosomal RNA". It matches the Rfam family "Eukaryotic small subunit ribosomal RNA", at positions 1470 to 1796 of the family's 1831-position model. The record is from RNAcentral.
CCCUUAGAUGUUCUGGGCCGCACGCGCGCUACACUGACUGACUCAACGAGUUUACAACCUGUGCCGAAAGGUAUGGGUAAUCUUUUGAAAUUCAGUCGUGAUGGGGCUAGAUUAUUGCAACUAUUAAUCUUCAACGAGGAAUGCCUAGUAAGCGCGAAUCAUCAGUUCGCGUUGAUUACGUCCCUGCCCUUUGUACACACCGCCCGUCGCACCUACCGAUUGAAUGGUCCGGUGAAAUCUCGGGACGGCGGCUUGGUCGCUUGCGUCCGACUGCUGAAACUUGAUUAAACCAUAUCAUUUAGAGGAAGGUGAANUCGUAACA